This 2037-nucleotide ribosomal RNA is filed under the name Escherichia coli. RNAcentral's name for it is "partial 23S ribosomal RNA". It matches the Rfam family "Bacterial large subunit ribosomal RNA", at positions 911 to 2925 of the family's 2925-position model. Lineage: Bacteria; Pseudomonadati; Pseudomonadota; Gammaproteobacteria; Enterobacterales; Enterobacteriaceae. The record is from RNAcentral.
UGUUUCGGCAAGGGGGUCAUCCCGACUUACCAACCCGAUGCAAACUGCGAAUACCGGAGAAUGUUAUCACGGGAGACACACGGCGGGUGCUAACGUCCGUCGUGAAGAGGGAAACAACCCAGACCGCCAGCUAAGGUCCCAAAGUCAUGGUUAAGUGGGAAACGAUGUGGGAAGGCCCAGACAGCCAGGAUGUUGGCUUAGAAGCAGCCAUCAUUUAAAGAAAGCGUAAUAGCUCACUGGUCGAGUCGGCCUGCGCGGAAGAUGUAACGGGGCUAAACCAUGCACCGAAGCUGCGGCAGCGACGCUUAUGCGUUGUUGGGUAGGGGAGCGUUCUGUAAGCCUGUGAAGGUGUGCUGUGAGGCAUGCUGGAGGUAUCAGAAGUGCGAAUGCUGACAUAAGUAACGAUAAAGCGGGUGAAAAGCCCGCUCGCCGGAAGACCAAGGGUUCCUGUCCAACGUUAAUCGGGGCAGGGUGAGUCGACCCCUAAGGCGAGGCCGAAAGGCGUAGUCGAUGGGAAACAGGUUAAUAUUCCUGUACUUGGUGUUACUGCGAAGGGGGGACGGAGAAGGCUAUGUUGGCCGGGCGACGGUUGUCCCGGUUUAAGCGUGUAGGCUGGUUUUCCAGGCAAAUCCGGAAAAUCAAGGCUGAGGCGUGAUGACGAGGCACUACGGUGCUGAAGCAACAAAUGCCCUGCUUCCAGGAAAAGCCUCUAAGCAUCAGGUAACAUCAAAUCGUACCCCAAACCGACACAGGUGGUCAGGUAGAGAAUACCAAGGCGCUUGAGAGAACUCGGGUGAAGGAACUAGGCAAAAUGGUGCCGUAACUUCGGGAGAAGGCACGCUGAUAUGUAGGUGAAGUCCCUCGCGGAUGGAGCUGAAAUCAGUCGAAGAUACCAGCUGGCUGCAACUGUUUAUUAAAAACACAGCACUGUGCAAACACGAAAGUGGACGUAUACGGUGUGACGCCUGCCCGGUGCCGGAAGGUUAAUUGAUGGGGUCAGCGCAAGCGAAGCUCUUGAUCGAAGCCCCGGUAAACGGCGGCCGUAACUAUAACGGUCCUAAGGUAGCGAAAUUCCUUGUCGGGUAAGUUCCGACCUGCACGAAUGGCGUAAUGAUGGCCAGGCUGUCUCCACCCGAGACUCAGUGAAAUUGAACUCGCUGUGAAGAUGCAGUGUACCCGCGGCAAGACGGAAAGACCCCGUGAACCUUUACUAUAGCUUGACACUGAACAUUGAGCCUUGAUGUGUAGGAUAGGUGGGAGGCUUAGAAGUGUGGACGCCAGUCUGCAUGGAGCCGACCUUGAAAUACCACCCUUUAAUGUUUGAUGUUCUAACGUUGACCCGUAAUCCGGGUUGCGGACAGUGUCUGGUGGGUAGUUUGACUGGGGCGGUCUCCUCCUAAAGAGUAACGGAGGAGCACGAAGGUUGGCUAAUCCUGGUCGGACAUCAGGAGGUUAGUGCAAUGGCAUAAGCCAGCUUGACUGCGAGCGUGACGGCGCGAGCAGGUGCGAAAGCAGGUCAUAGUGAUCCGGUGGUUCUGAAUGGAAGGGCCAUCGCUCAACGGAUAAAAGGUACUCCGGGGAUAACAGGCUGAUACCGCCCAAGAGUUCAUAUCGACGGCGGUGUUUGGCACCUCGAUGUCGGCUCAUCACAUCCUGGGGCUGAAGUAGGUCCCAAGGGUAUGGCUGUUCGCCAUUUAAAGUGGUACGCGAGCUGGGUUUAGAACGUCGUGAGACAGUUCGGUCCCUAUCUGCCGUGGGCGCUGGAGAACUGAGGGGGGCUGCUCCUAGUACGAGAGGACCGGAGUGGACGCAUCACUGGUGUUCGGGUUGUCAUGCCAAUGGCACUGCCCGGUAGCUAAAUGCGGAAGAGAUAAGUGCUGAAAGCAUCUAAGCACGAAACUUGCCCCGAGAUGAGUUCUCCCUGACCCUUUAAGGGUCCUGAAGGAACGUUGAAGACGACGACGUUGAUAGGCCGGGUGUGUAAGCGCAGCGAUGCGUUGAGCUAACCGGUACUAAUGAACCGUGAGGCUUAACCUU